AUACGAAGGGGGCUAGCGUUGUUCGGAAUCACUGGGCGUAAAGCGCGCGUAGGUGGAUCAAUUAGUUGAGGGUGAAAUCCCGGGGCUCAACCUCGGAACUGCCUUCAAUACUGUUGAUCUUGAGACCGAGAGAGGUGAGUGGAAUUCCUAGUGUAGAGGUGAAAUUCGUAGAUAUUAGGAAGAACACCAGUGGCGAAGGCGGCUCACUGGCUCGGUACUGACGCUGAGGUGCGAAAGCGUGGGGAGCAAACAGUAUUAGAAACCCUUGUAGUCC
RNAcentral lists this ribosomal RNA (274 nucleotides) under uncultured bacterium. RNAcentral's name for it is "partial 16S ribosomal RNA". It matches the Rfam family "Bacterial small subunit ribosomal RNA", at positions 523 to 796 of the family's 1533-position model. The record is from RNAcentral.